UACGUAGGUGGCAAGCGUUACUCGGAAUUACUGGGCGUAAAGCGUGCGCAGGCGGUUCGUUAAGUUCGUUGUGAAAGCCCCGGGCUCAACCUGGGAACUGCAAUGGAAACUGGCGGGCUUGAGUGUGGCAGAGGGGGGUGGAAUUCCGCGUGUAGCAGUGAAAUGCGUAGAGAUGCGGAGGAACACCGAUGGCGAAGGCAGCCCCCUGGGCCAACACUGACGCUCAGGCACGAAAGCGUGGGGAGCAAACAGG
Molecule: ribosomal RNA, 253 nt
Filed under: uncultured bacterium
Lineage: Bacteria
Description: partial 16S ribosomal RNA
Rfam family: Bacterial small subunit ribosomal RNA
Source: RNAcentral